Molecule: ribosomal RNA, 1133 nt
Filed under: Salmonella enterica subsp. enterica
Lineage: Bacteria; Pseudomonadati; Pseudomonadota; Gammaproteobacteria; Enterobacterales; Enterobacteriaceae
Description: bacterial SSU rRNA
Rfam family: Bacterial small subunit ribosomal RNA
Source: RNAcentral
AAAUUGAAGAGUUUGAUCAUGGCUCAGAUUGAACGCUGGCGGCAGGCCUAACACAUGCAAGUCGAACGGUAACAGGAAGCAGCUUGCUGCUUCGCUGACGAGUGGCGGACGGGUGAGUAAUGUCUGGGAAACUGCCUGAUGGAGGGGGAUAACUACUGGAAACGGUGGCUAAUACCGCAUAACGUCGCAAGACCAAAGAGGGGGACCUUCGGGCCUCUUGCCAUCAGAUGUGCCCAGAUGGGAUUAGCUUGUUGGUGAGGUAACGGCUCACCAAGGCGACGAUCCCUAGCUGGUCUGAGAGGAUGACCAGCCACACUGGAACUGAGACACGGUCCAGACUCCUACGGGAGGCAGCAGUGGGGAAUAUUGCACAAUGGGCGCAAGCCUGAUGCAGCCAUGCCGCGUGUAUGAAGAAGGCCUUCGGGUUGUAAAGUACUUUCAGCGGGGAGGAAGGUGUUGUGGUUAAUAACCACAGCAAUUGACGUUACCCGCAGAAGAAGCACCGGCUAACUCCGUGCCAGCAGCCGCGGUAAUACGGAGGGUGCAAGCGUUAAUCGGAAUUACUGGGCGUAAAGCGCACGCAGGCGGUCUGUCAAGUCGGAUGUGAAAUCCCCGGGCUCAACCUGGGAACUGCAUUCGAAACUGGCAGGCUUGAGUCUUGUAGAGGGGGGUAGAAUUCCAGGUGUAGCGGUGAAAUGCGUAGAGAUCUGGAGGAAUACCGGUGGCGAAGGCGGCCCCCUGGACAAAGACUGACGCUCAGGUGCGAAAGCGUGGGGAGCAAACAGGAUUAGAUACCCUGGUAGUCCACGCCGUAAACGAUGUCUACUUGGAGGUUGUGCCCUUGAGGCGUGGCUUCCGGAGCUAACGCGUUAAGUAGACCGCCUGGGGAGUACGGCCGCAAGGUUAAAACUCAAAUGAAUUGACGGGGGCCCGCACAAGCGGUGGAGCAUGUGGUUUAAUUCGAUGCAACGCGAAGAACCUUACCUGGUCUUGACAUCCACAGAACUUUCCAGAGAUGGAUUGGUGCCUUCGGGAACUGUGAGACAGGUGCUGCAUGGCUGUCGUCAGCUCGUGUUGUGAAAUGUUGGGUUAAGUCCCGCAACGAGCGCAACCCUUAUCCUUUGUUGCCAGCG